Molecule: long non-coding RNA, 738 nt
Organism: Homo sapiens (human)
Lineage: Eukaryota; Metazoa; Chordata; Mammalia; Primates; Hominidae
Exons: 2
Source: RefSeq, a predicted model, not a curated record
UCAAAAAAUAAAAUAAGUCAAAUAGAAGAAAUGUAUAGAACAAAAAAAGGGGUGGGGAAAGAUGAAGCACAUAGACAAUCCUGGUAAACAGCUGUGAUUAAUAAAAUUAUCCAUCUUUUGUGUUCUCCAGGAACAGUUUACAGAAAAAAACACCCUGUCCAUUUGACUUAGAUGGUAACAUCGCAGUUCAGACCAGCCACAUACCAGGCACUCAGUAGCCACACUUGGUCAAUAGCUGCUACAUUAAAGUGUAGCUUCGACGACAGGGGAUGAAGAUCCUGAAAAAAUCUUUUCCGCCAGAGGUGAAGGAAGAGCCUCUCCCUACCAACAUCUCUCUUCAGUUCCGAGGGUGGAACAGAUACUGUCCAUGUAAAAAGCAGAGGGCAGCAGGAAUAAAAUAAUCACAGGUACAUCAUUGCUGGCCCACCUGUUGGUGUACCUGUGAUUAUUUUAUUCCUAAGUUAUAAACUAAAGAUCUCUACAUUGUAAGCUAAAGACUGUUGAAGUAAGAAACUAAAUAAUACACAAAUACUUGCAAAGAUAUUUAUUUGUAAAUUGGCAUAAUUAAUAUUGUUAAAUGUCUGUAUUACACAAAAUGAUCUGCAGAUAUAAUACAACCUUUAUCAAAAACCAAUGACUUUCUUCACAGAAACAUUUAAAAACAAUUCCAAAAUUUAUACGGUACUAGAAAAGACUCUCACUAUGCAAUAAAAAAAAAUAAAAAAAAAAACAAACCCA